Molecule: ribosomal RNA, 253 nt
Filed under: uncultured bacterium
Lineage: Bacteria
Description: partial 16S ribosomal RNA
Rfam family: Bacterial small subunit ribosomal RNA
Source: RNAcentral
UACGAAGGGUGCAAACGUUGCUCGGAAUUAUUGGGCGUAAAGCGCACGUAGGCGGCUUGGCAAGUCGGAUGUGAAAUCCCUCGGCUCAACCAAGGAAGUGCAUCCGAAACUGCCGAGCUUGAGUACUUAAGAGGAUCGCGGAAUUCCCGGUGUAGAGGUGAAAUUCGUAGAUAUCGGGAGGAACACCAGUGGCGAAGGCGGCGAUCUGGGCAGUAACUGACGCUGAGGAGCGAAAGCGUGGGGAGCGAACAGG